This 491-nucleotide ribosomal RNA is filed under the name uncultured bacterium. Its description in RNAcentral is "partial 16S ribosomal RNA". It matches the Rfam family "Bacterial small subunit ribosomal RNA", at positions 29 to 506 of the family's 1533-position model. The record is from RNAcentral.
AGUGAACGCUGGCGGUAGGCCUAACACAUGCAAGUCGAACGGCAGCACAGUAAGAGCUUGCUCUUACGGGUGGCGAGUGGCGGACGGGUGAGGAAUACAUCGGAAUCUACUUUUUCGUGGGGGAUAACGUAGGGAAACUUACGCUAAUACCGCAUACGACCUACGGGUGAAAGCAGGGGAUCUUCGCACCUUGCGCGAUUGAAUGAGCCGAUGUCGGAUUAGCUAGUUGGCGGGGUAAAGGCCCACCAAGGCGACGAUCCGUAGCUGGUCUGAGAGGAUGAUCGGCCACACUGGAACUGAGACACGGUCCAGACUCCUACGGGAGGCAGCAGUGGGGAAUAUUGGACAAUGGGCGAAAGCCUGAUCCAGCCAUGCCGCGUGGGUGAAGAAGGCCUUCGGGUUGUAAAGCCCUUUUGUUGGGAAAGAAAAGCAGCAGGUUAAUACCCCGCUGUUCUGACGGUACCCAAAGAAUAAGCACCGGCUAACUUCGU